RNAcentral lists this ribosomal RNA (623 nucleotides) under Bacillus subtilis. Its description in RNAcentral is "bacterial SSU rRNA". It matches the Rfam family "Bacterial small subunit ribosomal RNA", at positions 147 to 754 of the family's 1533-position model. The record is from RNAcentral. Lineage: Bacteria; Bacillati; Bacillota; Bacilli; Caryophanales; Bacillaceae.
CUCCGGGAAACCGGGGCUAAUACCGGAUGCUUGUUUGAACCGCAUGGUUCAAACAUAAAAGGUGGCUUCGGCUACCACUUACAGAUGGACCCGCGGCGCAUUAGCUAGUUGGUGAGGUAAUGGCUCACCAAGGCGACGAUGCGUAGCCGACCUGAGAGGGUGAUCGGCCACACUGGGACUGAGACACGGCCCAUACUCCUACGGGAGGCAGCAGUAGGGAAUCUUCCGCAAUGGACGAAAGUCUGACGGAGCAACGCCGCGUGAGUGAUGAAGGUUUUCGGAUCGUAAAGCUCUGUUGUUAGGGAAGAACAAGUACCGUUCGAAUAGGGCGGUACCUUGACGGUACCUAACCAGAAAGCCACGGCUAACUACGUGCCAGCAGCCGCGGUAAUACGUAGGUGGCAAGCGUUGUCCGGAAUUAUUGGGCGUAAAGGGCUCGCAGGCGGUUUCUUAAGUCUGAUGUGAAAGCCCCCGGCUCAACCGGGGAGGGUCAUUGGAAACUGGGGAACUUGAGUGCAGAAGAGGAGAGUGGAAUUCCACGUGUAGCGGUGAAAAUGCGUAGAGAUGUGGAGGAACACCAGUGGCGAAGGCGACUCUCUGGUCUGUAACUGACGCUGAGGAGC